This is a transfer RNA of Camelus ferus (Wild Bactrian camel), 70 nucleotides long. It matches the Rfam family "tRNA". Rfam says of the family: Transfer RNA (tRNA) molecules are approximately 80 nucleotides in length. Their secondary structure includes four short double-helical elements and three loops (D, anti-codon, and T loops). NCBI's taxonomy places the organism in Eukaryota, Metazoa, Chordata, Mammalia, Artiodactyla, Camelidae. The record is from Rfam.
GGAGAUAGCUCAGUGGUAGAGUGCCUGCCUGGCAUGCACAAGGUCCUGGGUUCAAUUCCUAGUACCUCCA